CGAAGCUGCGGCAGCGACACUAUGUGUUGUUGGGUAGGGGAGCGUUCUGUAAGCCUGCGAAGGUGUGCUGUGAGGCAUGCUGGAGGUAUCAGAAGUGCGAAUGCUGACAUAAGUAACGAUAAAGCGGGUGAAAAGCCCGCUCGCCGGAAGACCAAGGGUUCCUGUCCAACGUUAAUCGGGGCAGGGUGAGUCGACCCCUAAGGCGAGGCCGAAAGGCGUAGUCGAUGGGAAACAGGUUAAUAUUCCUGUACUUGGUGUUACUGCGAAGGGGGGACGGAGAAGGCUAUGUUAGCCGGGCGACGGUUGUCCCGGUUUAAGCAUGUAGGCUGAUUAUCCAGGCAAAUCCGGAUAAUCAAGGCUGAGGUGUGAUGACGAGGCACCACGGUGCUGAAGUAACAAAUGCCCUGCUUCCAGGAAAAGCCUCUAAGCAUCAGGUAACAUCAAAUCGUACCCCAAACCGACACAGGUGGUCAGGUAGAGAAUACCAAGGCGCUUGAGAGAACUCGGGUGAAGGAACUAGGCAAAAUGGUGCCGUAACUUCGGGAGAAGGCACGCUGGUGUGUAGGUGAAGUCCCUGCGGAUGGAGCUGAGACCAGUCGAAGAUACCAGCUGGCUGCAACUGUUUAUUAAAAACACAGCACUGUGCAAACACGAAAGUGGACGUAUACGGUGUGACGCCUGCCCGGUGCCGGAAGGUUAAUUGAUGGGGUUAUCCGUAAGGAGAAGCUCUUGAUCGAAGCCCCGGUAAACGGCGGCCGUAACUAUAACGGUCCUAAGGUAGCGAAAUUCCUUGUCGGGUAAGUUCCGACCUGCACGAAUGGCGUAAUGAUGGCCAGGCUGUCUCCACCCGAGACUCAGUGAAAUUGAACUCGCUGUGAAGAUGCAGUGUACCCGCGGCAAGACGGAAAGACCCCGUGAACCUUUACUAUAGCUUGACACUGAACAUUGAGCCUUGAUGUGUAGGAUAGGUGGGAGGCUUUGAAGCGUGGACGCCAGUCUGCGUGGAGCCAACCUUGAAAUACCACCCUUUAAUGUUUGAUGUUCUAACGUUGGCCCCUUACCGGGGUUGCGGACAGUGUCUGGUGGGUAGUUUGACUGGGGCGGUCUCCUCCCAAAGCGUAACGGAGGAGCACGAAGGUUAGCUAAUCCUGGUCGGACAUCAGGAGGUUAGUGCAAUGGCAUAAGCUAGCUUGACUGCGAGCGUGACGGCGCGAGCAGGUGCGAAAGCAGGUCAUAGUGAUCCGGUGGUUCUGAAUGGAAGGGCCAUCGCUCAACGGAUAAAAGGUACUCCGGGGAUAACAGGCUGAUACCGCCCAAGAGUUCAUAUCGACGGCGGUGUUUGGCACCUCGAUGUCGGCUCAUCACAUCCUGGGGCUGAAGUAGGUCCCAAGGGUAUGGCUGUUCGCCAUUUAAAGUGGUACGCGAGCUGGGUUUAGAACGUCGUGAGACAGUUCGGUCCCUAUCUGCCGUGGGCGCUGGAGAAUUGAGGGGGGCUGCUCCUAGUACGAGAGGACCGGAGUGGACGCAUCACUGGUGUUCGGGUUGUCAUGCCAAUGGCACUGCCCGGUAGCUAAAUGCGGAAGAGAUAAGUGCUGAAAGCAUCUAAGCACGAAACUUGCCCCGAGAUGAGUUCUCCCUGAGACUUUAAGUCUCCUGAAGGAACGUUGAAGACGACGACGUUGAUAGGCCGGGUGUGUAAGCGCAGCGAUGCGUUGAGCUAACCGGUACUAAUGAACCGUGAGGCUUAACCUU
RNAcentral lists this ribosomal RNA (1752 nucleotides) under Klebsiella pneumoniae BIDMC 23. Its description in RNAcentral is "bacterial LSU rRNA". It matches the Rfam family "Bacterial large subunit ribosomal RNA", at positions 1195 to 2925 of the family's 2925-position model. Lineage: Bacteria; Pseudomonadati; Pseudomonadota; Gammaproteobacteria; Enterobacterales; Enterobacteriaceae. The record is from RNAcentral.